AGGGCGUUCGACCAGUUGGUAGGUCUGCAGUCUCCAAAACUGUUAGUCGGUGGUUCGAGUCCAUCACGUCCUG
This 73-nucleotide transfer RNA is filed under the name Prevotella sp. Its description in RNAcentral is "tRNA-Trp". It matches the Rfam family "tRNA". Rfam says of the family: Transfer RNA (tRNA) molecules are approximately 80 nucleotides in length. The record is from RNAcentral. Lineage: Bacteria; Pseudomonadati; Bacteroidota; Bacteroidia; Bacteroidales; Prevotellaceae.